Molecule: ribosomal RNA, 391 nt
Filed under: uncultured bacterium
Lineage: Bacteria
Description: bacterial SSU rRNA
Rfam family: Bacterial small subunit ribosomal RNA
Source: RNAcentral
GUGUCAGCAGCCGCGGUAAUACGGAGGGGGCAAGCGUUGUUCGGAAUUACUGGGCGUAAAGAGCGAGCAGGUGGUUCAUUAAGUCAAUUGUGAAAGCUCAAGGCUUAACCUUGAAAUUGCUUUUGAUACUGAUGAACUAGAGUUUGGGAGAGGAUAGUGGAAUUCUAAGUGUAGAAGUGAAAUUCGUAGAUAUUUAGAGGAACACCGAUAGCGAAGGCAACUAUCUGGCCCUUUACUGACACUCAGAAGCGAAAGCUUGGGUAGCAAACAGGAUUAGAUACCCUGGUAGUCCAUGCUGUAAACGAUGAGUGCUAGAUGUUAGAAGUUUACUUCUAGUAUCGAAGCUAACGCGUUAAGCACUCCGCCUGGGGAGUACGGCCGCAAGGCUAAA